RNAcentral lists this ribosomal RNA (397 nucleotides) under uncultured bacterium. RNAcentral describes it as "partial 16S ribosomal RNA". It matches the Rfam family "Bacterial small subunit ribosomal RNA", at positions 338 to 732 of the family's 1533-position model. The record is from RNAcentral.
CCUACGGGUGGCAGCAGUGAGGAAUAUUGGUCAAUGGGCGCAAGCCUGAACCAGCCAAGUCGCGUGAGGGAAUAAGGCCCUACGGGUCGUAAACCUCUUUUGCCGGGGAGCAAGGGCGGGGACGUGUCCCGGCCCGGAGGGUACCCGGAGAAAAAGCAUCGGCUAACUCCGUACAAGCAGCCGGGGUAAUAGGGGGGAUGCGAGGUUUAUCCGGAUUUAUUGGGUUUAAAGGGUGCGUGGGGGGUCUUUUAAGUCGGCGGUAAAAAUUCGGGGUUAAACCCCGUACGGCCGUUGAAACUGGGGGCCUUGAGUGGGGGAGAGGAAGGCGGAAUGCGUGGUGUAGCGGUGAAAUGCAUAGAUAUCACGCAGAACUCCGAUUGCGAAGGCAGCUUUCCGG